GUUUUUAGGUGCAUUUUAUGCAUAACAAGGAAGUAGGUGAAAAUCCUACGCAGCCUCCGCUACUGUAAAGGUGACGAAACUAAAAUACCACUGGUGAAAACUGGGAAGGAUUAGGAGUAGGAUGAACCUAAGUCAGGAGACUUACCUAAAGAUAU
Molecule: non-coding RNA, 155 nt
Filed under: uncultured Cetobacterium sp.
Lineage: Bacteria; Fusobacteriati; Fusobacteriota; Fusobacteriia; Fusobacteriales; Fusobacteriaceae
Source: RNAcentral